GAUUUGAUCCUGGCUCAGGACGAACGCUGGGCGGCGUGCCUAAUCCAUGCGGAGGUUGAGCGGAGCCAUUGGAGCUUGCUCCUUUGGUUUAGCGGCGGACGGGUGAGUAACACGUGGGCAACCUGCCCUGCAGAUCGGGAUAACUCCGGGAAACCGGUGCUAUUACCGAAUAGUUUGCGGCCUCUCCUGAGGCUGCACGGAAAGACGGGAUCCUCGGUGUCCUGCUUUUUUGGGCCCGCGGCGCAUUAGCUAGUUGGUAGGGGUAAUGGCCUACCAAAGGCAACCGAUGCGUAGCCGACCUGAGAGGGUGAUCGGCCACACUGGGCACUGAGACACGGCCAGACUCCUACGGGAGGCAGCCAGGUAGGGAACUCUUCCGGAAUGGACGAAAGUCUGAACGGAGCAACGCACGCGUGAGUGACG
This 423-nucleotide ribosomal RNA is filed under the name uncultured bacterium. RNAcentral's name for it is "bacterial SSU rRNA". It matches the Rfam family "Bacterial small subunit ribosomal RNA", at positions 10 to 410 of the family's 1533-position model. The record is from RNAcentral.